AUUUUUCCAAAUCCGAUCUUUUUUGCCUAAAUCAUGCUCUUUACAAUUCACAUUUGCAAUGCAGUGUUUAGUGAAUGAAUCUCAUGAUUGUUUAAACUCUAUAUCGGAGCAGUCUUUUCCUUCGUUCUGUGCUCCCCAGAGAGAAGCACAGCAUUCACACAUGGGGGGAAAAAAAUCACAAACAUGUUUCCAUUUAUUUUUCCACUUACUGGAUUUAUUGUUAAUUAUACUUUUCUAAUACAAUUAGACAUAAAAAAGCACCUGUAACUGGACAUGGCAUUUUAGAUUUUUCAUGUGUCUUUGAGAUCACAUUUCUUAUCCGUUCUGUGGACUGUCUAUUGUCACAAUUCGCAAUAUCUCCAGUCUGGAACCUUGCAUAGUUCUAUUCGCC
This is a non-coding RNA of Pelobates cultripes (western spadefoot toad), 391 nucleotides long. The record is from the annotation of a GenBank genome assembly. NCBI's taxonomy places the organism in Eukaryota, Metazoa, Chordata, Amphibia, Anura, Pelobatidae.